This 522-nucleotide long non-coding RNA is filed under the name Numida meleagris (helmeted guineafowl). RNAcentral describes it as "lncRNA (ENSNMEG00000010148.1)". Lineage: Eukaryota; Metazoa; Chordata; Aves; Galliformes; Numididae. The record is from RNAcentral.
AAAAAUAGUAUGCGUUUACUGCCCUUAACAGUUUGCCCCAUCACCUUAGGUUGAGAUACAGUUAGAACCACACCUAUCGCAAGACAGGGUUAUGAACUAGAUGUACACUGGACUACAAAAAAGGAUUGCAGCAUGUGCACAAAAAAUCUGCCCAGAGACCCCAGUUGUGAAAAUACCAUACCACCUUACCAUGAGACACUGACAAGAAGAAACACAACUGAUAGAGUAAAUGAGCUGUCUUCUGGUUGGAGUUUACUGACUACAGUACUCAGGAGACCUACAGUAUUUGUAAUGCAAUUAUAGGGGGAGAAAAGAAGACUUGUCCAUGAAUCACAUGUUGGAAUUCAACAUCAAAACCAGAUUCUUCCAACUGUCCAGAAGAUGCCACAAUGGGUAACACUGCAAAACACAGAAAAUUCUGGAUGAUCUUUAUAUUUUUAAGAUGAUAUAAUAACUGAAAUUUUCCUUUCAUACAGGCUAUACAAGCUGACUUUAAAAAUAAAUCUCUGCAGCUGACAAACA